RNAcentral lists this ribosomal RNA (492 nucleotides) under uncultured bacterium. Its description in RNAcentral is "partial 16S ribosomal RNA". It matches the Rfam family "Bacterial small subunit ribosomal RNA", at positions 29 to 507 of the family's 1533-position model. The record is from RNAcentral.
AGUGAACGCUGGCGGUAGGCCUAACACAUGCAAGUCGAACGGCAGCACUGUUAGUGCUUGCUCUUACGGGUGGCGAGUGGCGGACGGGUGAGGAAUGCAUUGGAACCUACUUUUUCGGGGGGGACAACGAAGGGAGACUUACGCUAAUAUCGCAUACCACCUACGAGUGAAAGCAGGGGAUCUUUUGACCUUGCGCGAUUGAAUGAGCCGAUGUCGGAUUAGCUAGGUGGGGGGGUGAAGACCCACCAAGGCUACGAUCCGUAGCUGGUCUGAGAGGUGGUUCGCCCACACUGGAGCUGAGACAGGCUCCAGACUCCUACGGUACGCAGCAGUCGGGAAUAUUGGGCAGUGGGCGCGAGCCUGAUCCAGCCAGACCGCGUGUGUUUAGGAGGCCUUGCGGUUGUUAAGCCCUCUUGCUGGGAAAGAAAAGCAGCCGCUUAAGACCCCGCUGUUCUGACGGUACCCAAAGAAUAAGCACCGGCUAACUUCGUG